GCAGUGAACAGGACAGACCAAGUCCCUGUCCAUGUGGAGUUUGUGUUCUAGUGGGGGAGACAGGUAAUAAACAAGUGAGCAAACACACAAGUUAAGAAAACAUUCUUAGCUAGCAGUAGGAGGGCUGGACUUGACCUACAGGCCAUAGAUCAUCGACUGUGCCUGUAUCAUUCCUCAUCAAUGGUCCUCUGGCAUCUGAAUCUUUCCUUUUUUAACUCCAGCCAACAGAAGAAAGGUGCUGUUUUUAGAAAGCAUCAAUCAUGUAUUGAGUCAAAAUAUGCCUUCUUGUAUCACUCAUCCAACAAACACUUUGGAAAGAAAUUUAAACAUUUCAACUUUAUAGGAUGGAAGUUUGGGGAUAUACAUAAAGUUAGAGAGAACAGUGUGAUGACCCUCUAGGUGCCCAUCACCCAGUACUGACCAUUAUCAGCGCGUGGCCAAUCUUGUCUCAUCUCCACCUGCCACCCUGCAUAGAUUCUUUGAAAGGAAAUCUCA
Molecule: long non-coding RNA, 495 nt
Filed under: Pan troglodytes (chimpanzee)
Lineage: Eukaryota; Metazoa; Chordata; Mammalia; Primates; Hominidae
Description: long non-coding RNA NONPTRT005948
Source: RNAcentral